UUCUCCGCACCUUCCGCUGCAUGGAAGGUAACCAGCACAACAGACAUACCUAGACAUAUCAUUGUAUAGAGCUCUUUUCCGCAGCAUAUAGGACACACAUGGCCCACACCAAAGCGCCAGACAGCAAAAGGGGGUGUCGGCCUUGAUGGUGCCGGUGAGAUCCGUGUGCCAGACGUUGCGGUAGCUCUGCCGGAGCUGCAUCUUCUCCAUGUUCGCCUGCGACGUCAUUGCGGGCCCGAUUCACCGCCCGCCGGAGCCCUAAUCGGAGAAUUGAGUCGAGGGGGGAGAGGGGAAAUGGGGUGGCGGCGGCGAUGACGGGUCAACUGG
RNAcentral lists this unclassified non-coding RNA (327 nucleotides) under Hevea brasiliensis (rubber tree). Lineage: Eukaryota; Viridiplantae; Streptophyta; Magnoliopsida; Malpighiales; Euphorbiaceae. The record is from RNAcentral.